UACAUUUUUACUUUUUUUCUAAUAGAACAUACACCCUCUUUUAGUUAUUUACCUAGCUAUUAGUGGAUAGGUUAUUGUUAGAAUACUACAGCUAUUAUAAAUGUAAUCAUAUUGUACCUGUCUAACUAUCAAUAAUUUAUUUUGUUCUCAGUUAGAUUUUAUGUUUUUCUUUCACUUCUAUUAUGGUAUCAAGAGCUUCAUUUUUCGAGAAUUCAUAGUGGCGUCAGAUCUCCAAUUCUUCUUUCCUGCACACUCCACUGACGUUGUUUCCGGUGCGUUCGCCAUCACACACAAUUGAAUGGUUUCGUGCCUCCAACGAGUUAUGAAAAUCACACUUAUACCCCUCACGCUCUAACGUCUAAAGAAGCAGUGCAAGACGAUGACAUGAAGACAACAUCUACAAAGAAGAGACUGGUCAAAGCUGCAAGAUAAGCUGGACAACUAGAAGAAAGAAAAGUCAAAGCUACAAGGCAGACGGUACAAGCAAACUAAUGUCAUUCCUGCCAGAUCGUCUAACUGAAAAAAUGAAAAGGAUAUUCAAAGCAACAAUGCAACUACACUAGCAAGAAAGUAUCAAGUCUGCUAGCCUGUCUUUUCAAAGGAAGUAAAAAUCAAGACUCAAGAUGGUCCGCGCAAAGAAAGUCAAAGCAUCAAGAUCAUCUAGGCAAGAAGAGUCAAAGGGUGAGACGAUACAAGCAAGGAAAGUUAUAUCAGCAAAAUCGUCUAAAGUCAACAAGAGAAGAAUGACCAAGGGGCAAGACAAUCUACACAAGUAGAGUCGAAUCGUCAAGACUGUCUUGGAAGAAGACAAAGCUUCAAGUCAACAAAUGCAAGAUCAAGUGAAGCUAUUAGAUCGUCUAAGAAGACUGCACUCAACGUGUACGUUCAAGCGUCUAUCUCAAGGCUGACCAACUGAAGCAAUGUUAAGAGAAAAGAGCACCAUACUCAAAUGGAAAGAGAAAUGUUCAAGCGUCUAUCUCAGGACAUUCUUGAUGUUGUUCAUAUUUUCUUAACUGUCUACAUUUUAGCUAAGAUGUUUUAUCUGUCAAGAUGUGCGACCAAAUGCUGCAGCAUCUGGUGCAACAUUUUCCCCUGCGUAGCUGCUGUGUGUUGUGUGCGUUUUCUAAAAGCUUUGGAUUGUUUUUCGUGAUCAACAAGUUAGGGUUGUUGAAGAA
This is a long non-coding RNA of Lotus japonicus, 1175 nucleotides long. RefSeq lists it as uncharacterized. The transcript has 2 exons. The record is from RefSeq and is a predicted model, not a curated record. Lineage: Eukaryota; Viridiplantae; Streptophyta; Magnoliopsida; Fabales; Fabaceae.